GUGAUGUGAUGCGCAAGUCCACCACUUAUACGUGAAUCAUCGAGUUGUUGAACGCACCGCACCGCGCCCUAAUCCGGCUGCGGUAUGCCCCUUUGAGCGUCAUUGUAUCCCUUCGGGAGUCUUUUCAUCGAGACCCGAGUUCGGAGUCCCCGGUCUUUGGAUCGUGUUCUCUCAGAUGCGUCGCGCCGAUCGCCUGAUGGGUCGCUCUAAUGCCUAAGCGUGGAGUCCCUCGGAGCCCGAAACGCGCUUGACCGGGUGUUGAGCCCGCGUCGCCAAGUCCGCACGUCUUACGUGGCGGUACUACAACGCAUGACCUCAUUGGGGUAGGACAACCCGCUAGACUUAAGCAUAUUAAUCAGCGGAGGAAAAGAAACUAACCAGGAUUCCCUCAGUAACUGCGAGUGAAGCGGGACCGGCUCAAUGUGUGAAUCUGGCUUGGGGUAGAUCCCUGGUCCGAGUUGUGCACUAUGGACGUUUCGUCUGCGUUUGUAAUGGCGGUGGAAGUCCGUUGAAACACGGCACCUCAGAGGGUCACAGUCCUGUACCACCUGCCUGCACUCGCGCCAAUGACAAGCGCUCCUCGAGUCGCGUAGUUUUGUAAUGCUGCGCCAAGUGGGAGGUAGAGACCUUCUAAGGCUAAAUAUGAUGACGUGACCGAUAGCACACAAGUACCGCGAGGGAAAGGUGAAAAGCAACCAUGAAAAAUGGGUUGAAACAGCAGUGAAAGCGCUACCGGGAUAAGGGCUAUCGGGUGCUGGGGCUUCUUGGGUGUGCUUCAGUGCUACCCUUGGAGACGGCCCGCGUGGGUUGAUGUUGGGGCGAUAGACGCGUCGUUGGAAUUCAGCUGUCUUUGGGCAGUGUUGUAGCCUUCGGUUGCCGAUCCUCCUGCGAC
RNAcentral lists this ribosomal RNA (892 nucleotides) under uncultured Tulasnella. Its description in RNAcentral is "eukaryotic LSU rRNA". The stretch from base 311 to 892 matches the Rfam family "Eukaryotic large subunit ribosomal RNA", at positions 1 to 585 of the family's 3401-position model. The record is from RNAcentral. Lineage: Eukaryota; Fungi; Basidiomycota; Agaricomycetes; Cantharellales; Tulasnellaceae.